UGCUUUAAAGGCAGGUCAGCAGAAAAGGAGAUGAAUUCAGGAAUGUCACGUCCAUGGCCGGGGAGCUGCAGGGACCAGCAGUCACUGCUCAUGUCCAGGUGGACAUUCCGGGCCAUCUCUGGCUUGCCCAGGGUUUUCACCUUUUUUAGUGCAGGACCAUAAACUUAACAAACACCACGGGCCCCAUACAAAGUGCUGCUAGUGAUGCUGGAAAUACUCACAGGAAGCAGAGAAAAGUCAUGGAAAAGUUGAAUUGCUUUAUAUGUGCUAUAUAGAUCAAGGUCUGCAGCUGUGGUUGCCCACCAUUUCAAGCAAGACAAAGCUGUCCUCUUCCUCCUUGUCCUCAGCCUACUCAGUGUGACGAUGACAGGAUGAAGACCUUUAUGAUGACCCACCUCCACUUAAUGAAUAGUAAACAAUCGCUGUGCCAUAUGGAUACCAUACGAAAACCUAUCUGUUGUAUAUGUAUGUGUGUCGUUGUAUGAAAAUCUAAUAACUUCUACAAGAACUGUAUGAGAUGUUUUUGUGUCAUCAUGGUUCUCAUCACUGCCUAAGAAUUCAUGGUGUAGAACACUGUGCAAGACUUGUGUUGAAGUGGAUGGCAUAUCCUUUGAUAGGCAUAAGGUGAGUGACAGUUAAUAUAAAAUGAAUAAUGUGUUGAUUUUCUCACUGUUUCAUAACUUUGCUUUCAAAGACUCACAGUACUAUUCAAUAUGCCUCUCUGUUUCUUGUAAUUGAAGAAACUGCAUAUCAGACUAUCAUCCCAAGUGUUUUUGUAAAUCAAAGUACAGUUGAUUUAUAAUAGUAUAUUAGUUUCAGGUGUAUA
Long non-coding RNA from Capra hircus (goat), 826 nucleotides. RefSeq lists it as uncharacterized. The transcript has 3 exons. The record is from RefSeq and is a predicted model, not a curated record. NCBI's taxonomy places the organism in Eukaryota, Metazoa, Chordata, Mammalia, Artiodactyla, Bovidae.